AGUGGCGAACGGGUGAGUAACACGUGGGUAACCUGCCCAUCAGAAGGGGAUAACACUUGGAAACAGGUGCUAAUACCGUAUAACAAUCAAAACCGCAUGGUUUUGAUUUGAAAGGCGCUUUCGGGUGUCGCUGAUGGAUGGACCCGCGGUGCAUUAGCUAGUUGGUGAGGUAACGGCUCACCAAGGCCACGAUGCAUAGCCGACCUGAGAGGGUGAUCGGCCACAUUGGGACUGAGACACGGCCCAAACUCCUACGGGAGGCAGCAGUAGGGAAUCUUCGGCAAUGGACGAAAGUCUGACCGAGCAACGCCGCGUGAGUGAAGAAGGUUUUCGGAUCGUAAAACUCUGUUGUUAGAGAAGAACAAGGAUGAGAGUAACUGUUCAUCCCUUGACGGUAUCUAACCAGAAAGCCACGGCUAACUACGUGCCAGCAGCCGCGGUAAUACGUAGGUGGCAAGCGUUGUCCGGAUUUAUUGGGCGUAAAGCGAGCGCAGGCGGUUUCUUAAGUCUGAUGUGAAAGCCCCCGGCUCAACCGGGGAGGGUCAUUGGAAACUGGGAGACUUGAGUGCAGAAGAGGAGAGUGGAAUUCCAUGUGUAGCGGUGAAAUGCGUAGAUAUAUGGAGGAACACCAGUGGCGAAGGCGGCUCUCUGGUCUGUAACUGACGCUGAGGCUCGAAAGCGUGGGGAGCAAACAGGAUUAGAUACCCUGGUAGUCCACGCCGUAAACGAUGAGUGCUAAGUGUUGGAGGGUUUCCGCCCUUCAGUGCUGCAGCUAACGCAUUAAGCACUCCGCCUGGGGAGUACGACCGCAAGGUUGAAACUCAAAGGAAUUGACGGGGGCCCGCACAAGCGGUGGAGCAUGUGGUUUAAUUCGAAGCAACGCGAAGAACCUUACCAGGUCUUGACAUCCUUUGACCACUCUAGAGAUAGAGCUUCCCCUUCGGGGGCAAAGUGACAGGUGGUGCAUGGUUGUCGUCAGCUCGUGUCGUGAGAUGUUGGGUUAAGUCCCGCAACGAGCGCAACCCUUAUUGUUAGUUGCCAUCAUUCAGUUGGGCACUCUAGCAAGACUGCCGGUGACAAACCGGAGGAAGGUGGGGAUGACGUCAAAUCAUCAUGCCCCUUAUGACCUGGGCUACACACGUGCUACAAUGGGAAGUACAACGAGUUGCGAAGUCGCGAGG
Molecule: ribosomal RNA, 1181 nt
Filed under: Enterococcus faecium
Lineage: Bacteria; Bacillati; Bacillota; Bacilli; Lactobacillales; Enterococcaceae
Description: bacterial SSU rRNA
Rfam family: Bacterial small subunit ribosomal RNA
Source: RNAcentral